Molecule: long non-coding RNA, 1026 nt
Filed under: Piliocolobus tephrosceles (Ugandan red Colobus)
Lineage: Eukaryota; Metazoa; Chordata; Mammalia; Primates; Cercopithecidae
Description: lncRNA (ENSPTEG00000033338.1)
Source: RNAcentral
UUUGGAUUUUUUAGUAGAGACGGGGUUUCACCGUGUUAGCCAGGAUGGUCUCGAUCUCCUGACCUCGUGAUCCGCCCGUCUCGGCCUCCCAAAGUGCUGGGAUUACAGGCUUGAGCCACCGUGCCCGGCAUAAUAUGUGUUUAACAUUAGUCUCUAAGGAGGGCUAUGCCGGUAUCCAGGUGAGUUAUCCUACUUUUCCACAUUAUAGUAUGACCAAUGAGAUUUCUAAGUCAAGCGAUAAUGGUUUCUCCAACAUUGGUGCUGAUCUCAAAGUUCUACGAAGAUUAAGGUAGUGUUGGUGGUUCCUCUAACGAGGAAAAUGACUGAUACAAGUUGCAGGUGCCCCCUCCUUUUUUGCAGGUAAAACAGCGUGUUUCAUUAAGCAUAUUCAUUGUUGAAUAUGUUUCUUCAGGUACCAGUAGUCAUGAAAUCAUAGUGAACCUAACAGUGGUCAUUUAUGGGUUCUUGGUAGUAACUAGGUCAGUGAUAAAUUGGGUCUUACCACACUACAGACCACCUGUUGUUCAGAUUUUUAGGUAAGUGAGUAUGGUCCCUCUAACACAGUGUUACUGUGUUUGUCUUUUUCAGGCUUCCCAAAAGUUGUUUGGUAGUAUACAGGCAUGAGGUGGUGUGACUCCAACUCAUUAGAUGCCUUCGUCUUUUCAGUUAUGUUCCUGUCAAGAGAUUAUAACAAACCUAACAAUGGUCAUUAUCAGGAGCUGUUUUUGGUAUCCAGGUUCCAGCCAGAAGAUCAUGUUGAACUUCAUAAUGACCAUUAAUGGGGGCUUUGCUUGUAGACAAGUGAUUAUGUGGGCCUUAAGCAUCCUACAGAUCAUGUGAUCUUCACAUAUCUUGAGCUGCCAUGGAAAGAACUGAAAAUCUAGAAGGACCACAUUGAGUCAUUGUCCUCAUGUGAAAUUCUCCAAGAGCCUUUUGAGAUGCCAGAAAGACCUUCUACUGGUGUUCUUUUCUCCCUUUAGCAGCCCUUGAGCCUGUUGCAAUAAACUCUUACCUUUUAUGGAAUCA